GACGAACGCUGGCGGCGUGCUUAACACGUGCAAGUCGAACGGAAAGGCCCUGCUUUUUUGGGGUGCUCGUGUGGCGAACUUUUGUGUAACACGUUUGUAACCUGCCCUUUACUUUUUGAUAACUUCAGGUAACUGGGGCUAAUACCGGAUAUGAGCUCCUGCUUCAUGGUUUUUGUUGUUUAUUUUCGGCUGUUGGGGAUGGACUCGCGGAUUAUCAGCUUGUUGGUGGGGUAGUGGCUUACCAAGGCUUUGACGGGUAGCCGGCCUGAGAGGGUGACCGGCAAAAUUGGGAAUGAGAUACGGCACAGAAUCAUAAGGGAGGCAGCAGUGGGGAAUAUUGCACAAGGGGCGGAAGACUGAUGCAGCAAAGCGGCGUGCGGGAUGAAGGCCGUCGGGUUGUAAACCGAAUAAGAAGGUGACGAAGCGUGAGUGACGGUAAUGGGUAAAGAAGCACCGGCUAACUACGUG
Molecule: ribosomal RNA, 468 nt
Filed under: uncultured bacterium
Lineage: Bacteria
Description: partial 16S ribosomal RNA
Rfam family: Bacterial small subunit ribosomal RNA
Source: RNAcentral